Molecule: ribosomal RNA, 1383 nt
Filed under: uncultured bacterium
Lineage: Bacteria
Description: bacterial SSU rRNA
Rfam family: Bacterial small subunit ribosomal RNA
Source: RNAcentral
AGAGUUUGAUCCUGGCUCAGGAUGAACGCUAGCUACAGGCUUAACACAUGCAAGUCGAGGGGCAGCAUGCUGAUAGCUUGCUAUCAGUGAUGGCGACCGGCGCACGGGUGAGUAACGCGUAUCCAACCUGCCUGUCACUCAGGAAUAGCCCGGUGAAAACCGGAUUAAGUCCUGAUGAUAUCAUUAGAGGGCAUCUGACGAUGAUUAAAGGUUACGGUGACAGAUGGGGAUGCGUCUGAUUAGCUAGUUGGCGGGGCAACGGCCCACCAAGGCAGCGAUGCGUAGCCGGCCUGAGAGAGUGAACGGCCACAUUGGAACUGAGACACGGUCCAAACUCCUACGGGAGGCAGCAGUGGGGGAUAUUGCACAAUGGGGGAAACCCUGAUGCAGCGACGCCGCGUGGAGGAAGAAGGUUUUCGGAUUGUAAACUCCUGUCGUUAGGGACGAUAAUGACGGUACCUAACAAGAAAGCACCGGCUAACUACGUGCCAGCAGCCGCGGUAAAACGUAGGGUGCAAGCGUUGUCCGGAAUUACUGGGUGUAAAGGGCGAGUAGGCGGAUUGGCAAGUUGGGAGUGAAAUGUCGGGGCUUAACCCCGGAACUGCUUCCAAAACUGUUGAUCUUGAGUGAUGGAGAGGCAGGCGGAAUUCCCAGUGUAGCGGUGAAAUGCGUAGAUAUUGGGAGGAACACCAGUGGCGAAGGCGGCCUGCUGGACAUUAACUGACGCUGAGGAGCGAAAGCGUGGGGAGCAAACAGGAUUAGAUACCCUGGUAGUCCACGCCGUAAACGAUGGAUACUAGGUGUGGGAGGUAUUGACCCCUUCCGUGCCGCAGUUAACACAUUAAGUAUCCCACCUGGGGAGUACGACCGCAAGGUUGAAACUCAAAGGAAUUGACGGGGGCCCGCACAAGCAGUGGAGUAUGUGGUUUAAUUCGAAGCAACGCGAAGAACCUUACCUGGUCUUGACAUCCCGAUGACCAGUCUAGAGAUAGAUUUUUCUCUUCGGAGACAUCGGUGACAGGUGGUGCAUGGUUGUCGUCAGCUCGUGUCGUGAGAUGUUGGGUUAAGUCCCGCAACGAGCGCAACCCUUAUUGUCAGUAGCCAGCAGGUGAAGCUGGGCACUCUGAUGAGACUGCCGGGGAUAACCCGGAGGAAGGUGGGGAUGACGUCAAAUCAUCAUGCCCCUUAUGAGCAGGGCUACACACGUGCUACAAUGGCGUAAACAGAGGGAAGCGAAGGAGUGAUCUGGAGCAAAUCUCAAAAAUAACGUCUCAGUUCGGAUUGUAGUCUGCAACUCGACUACACGAAGCUGGAAUCGCUAGUAAUCGCGGAUCAGAAUGCCGCGGUGAAUACGUUCCCGGGUCUUGUACACACCGCCCGUCA